CCCCCCUCCCCAGGGGUCUCCCACCCGAACCCCCGCAGCACCGAGCUGUCUGACAUGAUCUCGGAUUCCGAGGACGAGGGCCACGACCCACUCGGUGGGAAGGGCCCCUUGCGGCUGUACCACAGGACCAAGAACAACACCCUGAUUCCGACUCUGGUGCAGCACAUUCACCUGAUUGCCCUGAAACCCUGCUACGUGGCCUUGGAGAGGUUAGCGAGGCCAACGGUGAGCUGACAGCACCCGCUGCUUGCCCCGCGUUGAUCACACUCUGGCUGGCACCCGACACCACCACCGUUGAUGCUGAGCCGAGCCUCCCCUGUGCCUGGGACGUUUGGUGGGAGCAGCAUUUGAGGUGGGGUUUGGGGAGAGGGGGUGCUGCCGCACUGCCUGCGGUGCUCACCAGCCGACGUGGGAGGACGACAGACACGAACAUAAGCUCACCGCCGUCCCGAGGUGGUGGGAAGUCUACGCGUAAACCUUUCUCCCUGGAUGGUAUUUAUUUUUCUGAACGUAGACCGUGAAGGGAAGGUUCGGAUCCGUGAGAGAGAGGGAGACUUUGUAUUCAGAGAACGGUGGGAAUCUGUUUGCCAGCACUUUCUUUCCUCUGUAUUUCUGUCUUGUACUUUUGUUUUAGGAAAAUGCAAAAUGUGAGUUGUUUUUAUUUAAGAAAUGGGCCAGGGAGACGAAUAUUGUUAUUCUGAAUAAAUUAGUGAAAGGCA
Molecule: long non-coding RNA, 719 nt
Organism: Rhincodon typus (whale shark)
Lineage: Eukaryota; Metazoa; Chordata; Chondrichthyes; Orectolobiformes; Rhincodontidae
Exons: 3
Source: RefSeq, a predicted model, not a curated record